GGGGGGGGGGGGGGGGGUGGCGGAGGGGUGCGGGUCGGGCGGGGCCUUCGGGUCUGGUGGCGCACGGGUGCGUAGCGCGUGGGAACCUGCCCUUAGGCUCGGAAUAACUCCCCGGAAGGGGUGCUAAUACCGGAUAAUGUCUUCGGACCACAGAUUUAUCGCCUUUGGAUGGGCCCGCGUUGGAUUAGCUAGUUGGUAGGGUAAAAGCCUACCAAGGCGACGAUCCAUAGCUGGUCUGAGAGGAUGAUCAGCCACACUGGGACUGAGACACGGCCCAGACUCCUACGGGAGGCAGCAGUGGGGAAUAUUGGACAAGGGGCGAAAGCCUGAUCCAGCAAUGCCGCGUGAGUGAUGAAGGCCUUAGGGUUGUAAAGCUCUUUUACCCGGGAUGAUAAUGACAGUACCGGGAGAAUAAGCUCCGGCUAACUCCGUG
This 433-nucleotide ribosomal RNA is filed under the name uncultured bacterium. Its description in RNAcentral is "partial 16S ribosomal RNA". It matches the Rfam family "Bacterial small subunit ribosomal RNA", at positions 38 to 507 of the family's 1533-position model. The record is from RNAcentral.